RNAcentral lists this unclassified non-coding RNA (203 nucleotides) under Hevea brasiliensis (rubber tree). Lineage: Eukaryota; Viridiplantae; Streptophyta; Magnoliopsida; Malpighiales; Euphorbiaceae. The record is from RNAcentral.
GCCAGUAUUAGCUUUCUCCAGAAACCGUUCAACAGGGGGAACCUUGAUUGAUUGCAGCUCUGGUGAUCUUGAAAGUAAAGAUCUUAUAUACAAAAUUCUUACACGAGAGACUAACAUCGUAUCCAUAACCCUCCUAGGUUCCAUUUUGCGAAUGAAAGAAAAAACAGCAUCUCUGAUUUCAGCAAGUAUUUCAUGUUCCCGUG